CGCCCUUGUGCCAAGCAGCCGCGGUAAUUCCAGCUCCAAUAGCGUAUAUUAAAGUUGUUGUGGUUAAAAAGCUCGUAGUUGGAUCUCAACAGCCUUGAAGCGGUUAACUUUGUAGUUUUACUGCUUUAUAGGCUGUGCUUUUGCUGGAGGUUUAGGGGUGCUCUUGAUCGAGUGUCUCUGGAUGCCAGCAGGUUUACUUUGAAAAAAUUAGAGUGCUCAAAGCAGGCUAAAAUGCCUGAAUAUUCGUGCAUGGAAUAAUAGAAUAGGAUGUCGAUCCUAUUUUGUUGGUUUUCGGGACUCGACAUAAUGAUAAAUAGGGACAGUCGGGGGCAUUUGUAUUCAAACGACAGAGGUGAAAUUCUUGGACCGUUUGAAGACAAACUACUGCGAAAGCAUUUGCCAAGAAUGUUUUCAUUAAUCAAGAACGAAAGUUAGAGGUUCGAAGGCGAUUAGAUACCGCCCUAGUUCUAACCAUAAACGAUGCCAGCUAGCGAUCUGCCUGCGUUUUUACUGUAGACUGGGCAGGAAGCUUCCGGGAAACCAAAGCAUUUGGGUUCCAGGGGAAGUAUGGUUGCAAAGCUGAAACUUAAAGGAAUUGACGGAAGGGCACCACCAGGAGUGGAGCCUGUGGCUUAAUUUGACUCAACACGGGAAAUCUCACCAGGCCCGGACACUGGAAGGAUUGACAGAUUGAUAGCUCUUUCUUGAUUCGGUGGGUGGUGGUGCAUGGGCCGUUCUUAGUUGGUGGAGUGAUUUGUCUGGUUAAUUCCGAUAACGAACGAGACUCUGUCCUGCUAAAUAGUUUCUACUUCUCUUUUGAGUAGAAAUUUCUUCUUAGAGGGACUGGUGACUCUUAGUCACACGAGAUUGAGCAAUAACAGGUCUGUGAUGC
RNAcentral lists this ribosomal RNA (892 nucleotides) under uncultured eukaryote. Its description in RNAcentral is "SSU rRNA". It matches the Rfam family "Eukaryotic small subunit ribosomal RNA", at positions 558 to 1470 of the family's 1831-position model. The record is from RNAcentral.